RNAcentral lists this ribosomal RNA (514 nucleotides) under uncultured bacterium. RNAcentral describes it as "partial 16S ribosomal RNA". It matches the Rfam family "Bacterial small subunit ribosomal RNA", at positions 28 to 523 of the family's 1533-position model. The record is from RNAcentral.
GAUGAACGCUGGCGGCGUGCCUAAUACAUGCAAGUCGAGCGAACAGAUGAGAAGCUUGCUUCUCUGAUGUUAGCGGCGGACGGGUGAGUAACACGUGGGUAACCUACCUAUAAGACUGGGAUAACUCCGGGAAACCGGGGCUAAUACCGGAUAAUAUUUUGAACCGCAUGGUUCAAUAGUGAAAGACGGUUUCGGCUGUCACUUAUAGAUGGACCCGCGCCGUAUUAGCUAGUUGGUAAGGUAACGGCUUACCAAGGCGAUGAUACGUAGCCGACCUGAGAGGGUGAGCGGCCACACUGGAACUGAGACACGGUCCAGACGCCUACGGGAGGCAGCAGUAGGGAAUCUUCCGCAAUGGGCGAAAGCCUGACGGAGCAACGCCGCGUGAGUGAUGAAGGUCUUCGGAUCGUAAAACUCUGUUGUUAAGGAAGAACAAAUUUGUUAGUAACUGAACAAGUCUUGACGGUACCUAACCAGAAAGCCACGGCUAACUACGUGCCAGCCGCCGCAGUAA